This 657-nucleotide ribosomal RNA is filed under the name uncultured bacterium. RNAcentral describes it as "bacterial SSU rRNA". It matches the Rfam family "Bacterial small subunit ribosomal RNA", at positions 57 to 758 of the family's 1533-position model. The record is from RNAcentral.
GCAAGUCGCACGGACCUUUCGGGGUGAGUGGCGGACGGGUGAGUAUCGCGUAGGGAUCCAUCCAUGGGUGGGGGAUAACAUCGGGAAACUGGUGCUAAUACCGCAUGAUACCUGAGGGUCAAAGGCGCAAGUCGCCUGUGGAGGAGCCUGCGUUCGAUUAGCUUGUUGGUGGGGUAAAGGCCUACCAAGGCGAUGAUCGAUAGCUGGUCUGAGAGGAUGAUCAGCCGCACUGGGACUGAGACACGGCCCAGACUCCUACGGGAGGCAGCAGUGGGGAAUAUUGGACAAUGGGCGAAAGCCUGAUCCAGCAAUGCCGCGUGUGUGAAGAAGGUCUUCGGGUUGUAAAGCACUUUCGACGGGGACGAUGAUGACGGUACCCGUAGAAGAAGCCCCGGCUAACUUCGUGCCAGCAGCCGCGGUAAUACGAAGGGGGCUAGCGUUGCUCGGAAUGACUGGGCGUAAAGGGCGCGUAGGCGGUCUACACAGUCAGAUGUGAAAUUCCAGGGCUUAACCUUGGGGCUGCAUUUGAUACGUGUAGACUAGAGUGUGAGAGAGGGUUGUGGAAUUCCCAGUGUAGAGGUGAAAUUCGUAGAUAUUGGGAAGAACACCGGUGGCGAAGGCGGCAACCUGGCUCAUUACUGACGCUGAAGCGCGAAA